AGUGAACGCUGGCGGCAGGCCUAACACAUGCAAGUCGAGCGGAUGAAGGGAGCUUGCUCCUGGAUUCAGCGGCGGACGGGUGAGUAAUGCCUAGGAAUCUGCCUGGUAGUGGGGGAUAACGUCCGGAAACGGGCGCUAAUACCGCAUACGUCCUGAGGGAGAAAGUGUGGGAUCUUCGGACCUCACGCUAUCAGAUGAGCCUAGGUCGGAUUAGCUAGUUGGUGGGGUAAAGGCCUACCAAGGCGACGAUCCGUAACUGGUCUGAGAGGAUGAUCAGUCACACUGGAACUGAGACACGGUCCAGACUCCUACGGGAGGCAGCAGUGGGGAAUAUUGGACAAUGGGCGAAAGCCUGAUCCAGCCAUGCCGCGUGUGUGAAGAAGGUCUUCGGAUUGUAAAGCACUUUAAGUUGGGAGGAAGGGCAGUAAGUUAAUACCUUGCUGUUUUGACGUUACCAAAAGAAUAAGCACCGGCUAACUUCGUG
RNAcentral lists this ribosomal RNA (484 nucleotides) under uncultured bacterium. RNAcentral describes it as "partial 16S ribosomal RNA". It matches the Rfam family "Bacterial small subunit ribosomal RNA", at positions 29 to 507 of the family's 1533-position model. The record is from RNAcentral.